This 96-nucleotide ribosomal RNA is filed under the name Flavobacterium pokkalii. Lineage: Bacteria; Pseudomonadati; Bacteroidota; Flavobacteriia; Flavobacteriales; Flavobacteriaceae. The record is from RNAcentral.
GCGGCGGGGCUCACCUCUUCCCAUCCCGAACAGAGAAGUUAAGCCCGCCUGCGCAGAUGGUACUGCAUCUUGUGGGAGAGUAUGUCGUCGCCUUUC